UAAAUGUGCCCUGUGGGGAAACUGGGUCAUUGUUACUGAAUAGAUAAAGAUAGAUCAGUUUUGCUAAAAUGAUAAAUAAGGUAGGAAGUUAUUAUGUAAACAAAUAAAUUCAGUCCAGAGUCCUCAUGUUCAAACAUCCAAACUCAUGUAAAAACUAAACCACUGUUGACUAUUACUACAGCAGUAAAAAAAACAAAACAAGUUUUGCUAAUGUACUGUACACAUGGUCUAAAACUAUAAAUAAUUUUAAAGAAUGUGCGUCAAAGUAAAGUAGUUUCAAUUUAGAUUUCUACUGACUGCUCAAACAGCUACUUUUACAGCUCUACAGUGGAAUGUUAAGAGUUUGUCAAUUCAUAAUUCCUAUUAAAAAACAUUGGGUAACUAGCAAAUGUUAUUCUGGUUCCAGUUAUUCUAUCUUUUAUGUCACAUCAAUAAUUAAAACUGUAAAAAAUGAUGUUUGGUCUUCAGUAUUGGCAUAAAGUGUUUUGAAGAUUACACUUAUUUUAUUUCCUAUGGAUGUCACUGUGGUGUCUCAGACAGCAAUAAGAGACUGAGGAAAUUCAAUUUGACUUCUGUACAGUCAAGCAGCACACUUUAUUUAGCUUAAACAUGGAGUAUCUCCAUCUUCUCUUCAGAUGGUUUUAUGAGGUGUCAUUUGACCUGAAGCCCUCCCAGGCCCAGGCUCAUGCAUGAAGCCAUUUUUUUCUGGUUUUAGUCAAAGACAAGAAUAAUGGUUGGUCACAAUUUGAGGCACUAGCCGUUAAUUGAUGACUAACUGAGACAGCAAUGGUGGAUGGGGGCAGCAAUAAAGGAUCUGUGGUACAUGAUGAUUGUGUUAUAGAUACUCAAAUCAUGUUAAUCUGUUCCUAUGGCAGGACUGAAGGUACUCAGGAAGGAUCUGAAAAAAGAGUAAAACCAGUGGUUGUGAAAAAGACUUUCUUUUGGUGCAGUCCACACAGAAACCAUAUAGCAGUGUGUACAAGGAGAGCAGGUGAAGGAGUAAUAACAUACUGUACCUACAUACAAUUCCAUGAUCUGAAUGCUGCCAGUGAAACCACGGGUAGGACAUAGCUGCCAUCCAUUUCUAGGUAUGAAAGAGGGUAAUAGGAUACCCAGCAGCCAGGGGCAGGGGUCAUCGUAGUAGUAACUACAGGGAAAACACCUAGGGGCUGGGUCAGUCUUCCAGCAGGCCAGAGCAGGUAAAAAGUGGUAAAGCCUCAAGUUAGAGGCCCAAGCCCAUGAGGCCACUAUCCCCUGUGGUUAAUCUAUGUACUCUUGUACAAAAGCCACUUGGAGCCACUUGGAAAUCAGAAUGUCUCUGACAGCCUGAUGAUUUAAUGGAUACCUAAACUGGAUUGUAAGGCUUCAAACCCGUUACCAGGUAUAGCUGAUAUAUUCAGUGAUACAGUAUAGUGAGAUCGGUAAAAAAGAAAGGGGGACACCAGCGUUACCCUCUUCAUAUCUGCUUAGUUCCUAACUAUAAACCAGUAGGACAUUUUUUGAAAGAAAGGAAAAAAAAUUGAAUUAGGUAAAAUUACUGCAAAAGCUAUUUGUAUAAUAACUUCCAGGGUAAUUUAGACAAGCCAUCAACACUGAUAAACCUGUCUGGAAGUGUCGUUUCACACAUAAAAGGAGCAGAGCUGUUCGGGUGAGGGAAGAGGGGAAAAGGAACACUUGGAGACAGACAGCAAGAGGUGCUGGUGGUAGUAGUUAUUUGAAGAAUGUUGCCUGUUCAGCUGCUCGGUGAUUACAUUUAUUUGGAUAGUAGCCAAUAAUUUAUCUACCUGCACAUGUACUGUGCAGGUUUAUGUCGUUCAUAUCACGAGGAGGCUGAGCUACUGACUGGAAGUGUGCAUGGCAAUGGCCACCUGUAGCUACUGUACAGUAGAGAGCAGCAGGUGUCUACUGCGUUAAAAUUUGUGAGGCGUUUCAUUUCUGCCAGGACUGGUAGGUCAGUCUUAUCUAUGUCAUGUGGGGGUGUCCAUGCUCCUCUUCACUGUAUCACUAUAAGAUUUCACUUGAGUACAUUUGAUACUUGGACUACUUGUCUUUGUAGUUGUGAAAACAUUCU
Betta splendens (Siamese fighting fish) is the source of this 2071-nucleotide long non-coding RNA. NCBI's taxonomy places the organism in Eukaryota, Metazoa, Chordata, Actinopteri, Anabantiformes, Osphronemidae. The record is from Ensembl.